This is a long non-coding RNA of Gasterosteus aculeatus aculeatus (three-spined stickleback), 7307 nucleotides long. Lineage: Eukaryota; Metazoa; Chordata; Actinopteri; Perciformes; Gasterosteidae. The record is from Ensembl.
GCAGAAGCAUAAACUAGCCUUUAUUCCGCCGUGUUGAAAAUGCUAAUCUAGUUCAAGCUAGUUAGCUAGACAGCUGUACGCUAGUCUGCUAACUUACUAAUUACGCCAUGCUAAAUGCUACCCUUUGCGCUAGCUGUAUGUUAGUUAGUUAGCAUGCAUAUUAUCCCAUGUUUCACCAUAAUAAUAAUAAUAAUCACUUUUUAUUUUAAUGUUUUAUUCAUAGUUUAAUCAUGUUCUGCGUAAAUGUUGUAACUAAUGCUGUGGAAAAAUGUAGAUAAAAAGUGCAAAGUGCAAAGUCAAACCGCAAAACUAAACCGUUCAGAAAAUACAGUCUUUUCGCCACGUAAAGUUCAAACCAUCAGCAGCUAUUCAAUGUGGUUAUUCCUAAUUUGAAUAUACAGAAAAAAGAAGUGAACAGAAGAUUUAAGUUUCAUUUUCAAUAUUAUUAACUUCCUGUUUCUGUAGUUGACUGAAAAACCAUAUACUUUAUCACCACAAAUGAAAGGCGGGAACAGGAAGAGAAACCAAACCCAGAACCCACCAGCAUCAUGACAAUGAAAGUAUUACUCUGAGGCAUUUGCUGCAAAGCCAAAGAAAAGCUAUUAUAAUUGCUAUUAUUAGUGGUGCCCACUGGAUUUGAUUAUCUUAGAUGAAACUUUUAUAAUCCCUGAGGGAAACUGCUGCAGAGACAGCGGCUCUGUAUUUAGUAAUCACAAGUAGAAGCACAUAUGGAUACAAAAAGAGGAUUGUGAAAACAUGAAUACUGUUUGUGUAUUGUGUAUAAAUACGAUUUAAUGUGCAAAUGUUUUUUUUUUUUUAAUCAUUUCUAACAACAUAAUCCAGUAUUCGCUAAAAUAAUAACGCUCUGGUUUCCAUAUUGCUCAAAGAUUUAUUGUAGACUUUUCUUAUUUCUGCAUUGCUUGAAAGUAAGUGCUCUGCUUUUGUUUUUCCAAAGGAAAACUCAGAAUCGCAGAGCUCCAGAGAAUGUCUGGCUUCUCCACCAAGUAGGAAAUCUCACUCCACUGGAUUUUCCUCAGAUUUCAUAUUGAAUAGAAAAAGUUUCACAUUUAAGGAGAUGCAUUUAUUCUCUUUGUUUGCCGUGUAUCACAUGAGAAGAGUUACACUGCAUGUAUAUUUGUUGGUUAGAUAUAAAGCUAAAGUAUAAAACAUAAAGCUGUUGUUUUCAAGGCCCUGAUGGAGCCCAACAAUUUUAAAUUGCAGAUUUUGUUCUGAUAAAAAAAAACAGAUAUCAAGAUAUAACUUGAUUAUUAUUGAACUGCAAAAGUAGAACUUUAAUUGAGACCAGAUCCGAGUUCCACCCUGCUGCAGUCAUGAAAUGUUUCUUCCAAAAAGAGUUUGUGACUAAUAGAUGGUUCCUGAGUAGAACCUUUAAGAAGAACCCUUUGGAAGCCUUACGUUUGUAGCUUCUUAGUGAAGGACACAUGUGUGAAUUAUAUCAAUAUUCUCAUCUGGCAAAAAAAGUGAAUAAAUGUGUUUCACAAAGUGUGUCACUGAUCCAUGAGGUUGGAUUCUACACUCGAAAGUGUGAAACAUUUCUUCUUCUCGAUUCCUCAGGAGCAAUCAAUACCAGGGGGGCGAGUAUGUUUCGGAGAUCCCACCUUUACCUCCUCGGACACAGUUUCUCCUCACAGGCAAGAAACAAAGCACGAUACACACGAGUCAUUUUCACCGAUCCUACACAAGAAGUACUUCUCACUAAACCGGAGGGAGUCUGAAGUGUGUUACACUGUAAACACACAGUAAAACCAGAGGUUUUCUCCACAAGGACCAAAAUCAACAGUGGAGGAAAAAGUCACUUGAGGUUACUUUGAUUGAGAUGUUGAGGACUUCUUCCCUCGCUGGUGUCUGACCAUAAGGCCAAAGGGAUGUGUGAAAUAAGGAAAGCAGUUUAAGAUAAGUGAGUGAUGACGGAUGUGUGAAAUAGUUCUAGCCAUGUAUGAAAUAUGGUUGUAUAUUUUGAUGGAAUCAAACAUAUGUUUAGAGUCAAAGGGUUUCAUAAAAUAAUUAAACAUCUGCCCCACUGUCCAGACUCCAUAUAUCUAGUAAUAAUAAACUGCUUUAAUACAUUUUUUUUUAUUUCAGAGGCCCAAAGUUAUGAGAACCUGGACGCCGCAGAUGAUCAGACUGAUCGGACUGAUCAGACUGAUCAGAUCGUCCACGAGCAGGACGUCCCAGACUACGAGCAGGUUGACCAGGACGUCCCGGACUACGAGCAGGACGUCCCACACUACGAGCAGGACGUCCCAGACUACGAGCAGGUUGACCAGGACGUCCCGGACUGCGAGCAGGACGUCCCAGACUACGAGCAGGUUGACCAGGACGUCCCAGACUGCGAGCAGGACGUCCCGGAAUACGAGCAGGACGUCUCAGACUACGAGCAGGUUGACCAGGACGUCCCGGACUGCGAGCAGGACGUCCCAGACUACGAGCAGAUUGACCAGGACGUCGCAGACUACGAGCAGGACAAGCAGUCCGACUCUUUGAAGGCGGUGGGUGAGGACGAGCCUCUCCCUCUGAUUCCACGGUACCCAGAUCUAGAUCCAGCAGCAGACAGUUUCUCAGAGGACGACUACGACGACAUCGGGGGUGAAGAUGAAACCGAGGGGGAAGAGGACUACGACGAUGUGGCUUAGGACCACAAGAGAACGGGAGAGAGAUCAUUCAAGUAAAGACGCUGUCAACCCUCUGGAUCAGAACGAAGUCCCCCGGGCAGGUGGAAGGUUUUCAUGUGUUUCAUAAGUAGAAGGGGUGGUUGUCUGUAGUUAAUGUGUGGUUUUCAAGGACAAAGAAGAGGCAGAACACAUACGUGACUCAUUUUCCAGGCAAAGGAUGUGGUCAGUUUAAUCUACAGGAAUACUUCAUAUUCUAAUCAUCCAUGUUUGUAGCGUCUAAAAAGAACAACCUGCCUGUUUUCAGCUAAGAGGCUUUUUAAAAUAGUUGAUUCCAUUUAAGGGGAAGGAGGAUUUCCUUUAUCUCUUUAUUCAGUUUAUCAGAAACACUCUACAUCCGCAUCUGGACACGUGGUUUUCACUUGGCAGGAAGGGGAUGAAAAACAGUCAUCUGAAAAGAAACUAAAGCCGUCAGCGAAAUGUGGUAGAGAAAACAGUACAAUACAAUUAUGAGUAAGUACAUUAAAUAGGAAAACUUGAGUAAAAAACCUAUUGAUUGGUUUAGAAAGCAGACAAGGCUCAGAGGCAUUUCCUCCUUCUUCUUUUCUGCUGAAUCCCAAGUUUUAGAGACUCUGAUCCCGGUUUGGUUACGACUGCGUCAUCAGUCGAGCCGUCGAAGGCUUAAAAUAACUAUAAAAAAAAAAAAAUGUUUUUAUGCUGCCGUGUGGUUGACGCUGCAUUCUGAUUGUACAGCUGUUGAUUGUUGUUGCGCUUUAUGAGCUUUGACUCACCUGUCAAUGUAGCUGGGUUGCAUUUAAGUAAUUUAGCAUGUUAACAUAGUCCGUGCAUGUAGAAGUCAUGGAGUCGAACUCGCACUUGAGUAUUGUUAAAACAAUCUCUUACCCUGCUUGGAGUAAUGUCACGCUCAUCCUCCGUCUUAUACGUUCCAUCUCCACAGGGGUCGUGUCGGGCCCCUCGGGUGGCAGCAGGCCCUCAGCAGCCUCUCAGCCCGGUCGUCCUCUGUGGAUCCAAACAUUGGAUUCAAAAAGGGAAAGAAUUCUACCAAAAAACAUAGUUAUUUGAUCUCCGUUUAUGAAAAAGCGCCGUUAAGCCAGCAGUUUGGUGACCCACAUACAUAAUCUCUCACACUCUGACCACAUAAUAACAUCCUGCCAGUCAUCAGUCACUGCCUUACGUAGCCCUCGGGAAGUUUUAAUGAAUAUAAGUGGAUUUGAAUGCCUCGGUUUAGGAUUAAGUGAUCUGACGGCGCUCCAAAGAGACAAUGCAGGAAAAGAAAAAGCUGGGGGAAAAAAAAGAGGGGAAAUUUUUUUGGGGGAAAAAAAUCCAGCGAAAACAGGAAGGUCACUGAGGUUAAACAAUUUAAAAAUGUGAAGAAAAAGACAAGAUUCUUUCCUUUUUUCUUUUUUACAGUCUGUGCUGGCAUUGUCCACUGUGCAGCUGAUUGAUGGAAUACUUAACUAAUAAUAUAUUAUUUAGCACAUGAAAAUAUAUUAAAAUGUUUUUUUGAUGGAUUUAACACAUUAUAAUGUACUUGUCAGUGUAUAUUUAGUGUGUAUUAAUGUGCUGUGAUUGCCAACAAUCAUAACCACGUAAGACAGUUAUAUUUUCAUGUAGUUCAGGAAGAGUUUGGAUUGUUUACCACAUUAAUAGAAGGAUUUGUCUUAUAAUUAGGUUCAUAUAGUUAUUGGCUCUCUAACAGAAAACAUUUUCGUAGGAAAAUCUUUCGUUUUUCACAAGGACUUUAAUUUUGAAGAAUCUAAAACGGAAGUGUAGCUGUAGCUAAAGGUGUGGGUUUGAAACAGCAAGCCCACGCUUUCUUUUUUGAAAAUUCGUAUAAAUAUUAGAUUGUGUUGAUAGAUGAGAGGAGACAAUGCUGUUUGAAAAAGAGUUCAAAAGGAAUAUUGACUCCUAAAAAACUUUAUUUUAUGUUAAAAACGUGCAUCUUUAUCAACACUAUUACAGCAACAGAUAGAAAUAUAUAAACGUCCAAUUCGAUUCAAUUUUAAAAAUACCAUCAGAAAUUAUAUGCAAAAAAACAAUAAACAACCACAUACCACGGUGAAAACACAAAUGUACUUUCCGUUACAGUAUUAUCUGUUUUAUCAGAGGCUUAUAUUAUUUUGGGAUAUUUUUAUUGCCUGAUUUUGUUGGUCUCAAUGUUGUCCUGAAAUGUUUUAAUCCCAGUUUAACCACCAAAGGCACUUUGUUUAAAGUAUAACAUGCUGUAUGAAUUUGGUUGAUUAUUAAGAUGAUUGUUCCAAAAUUGUUUUGUGUUUUAUUCACACAAAGAUUUCACGUGUUGUGGAUAAAAUGUUCAAUGUAUUUUAGAAGUGCAGCAUAAUAUUUAGUUUACCUAAGCGUAGUGUGUAGCAACCUGACAUCCUGCCUGUACAGAUAAAACGUGAUUUGCUUUUUAAUAAUAGUUAUGGGAUGCACCAUGAUGUAAUAAAUAAAACGUAACGAUAGAGCUAUUUAUAAAACAAUGCAGUUCCGGUUUUAAAGCUGUAUUUGGUGGUACAAGUGAAAGUUGUUACGUUAAUUGUUGCUAUUGUUACAGUGACUUUCCCCUCUACUGUUUAACAGUUUAAUUUGGUGUGUUUCCUUCCUCCUUAAAUAUGAAUGAUACUAUCUGAACGGUUGUAUGAAUUGUUGGUGUCUUUUCUUAUUAGAAUAAAUUCUUUGCACUCUUUUUUGUCAUUUAUUAUGCUUAGCAAUCAACAUGAGAGAAAAGAAAAAGCAAGUAGCCAUCAGCAAUGAUUAUGAAUAGAAAAUGUUCAGUAAAUAGAACGAAAUAGGCGAAAUACAAAAAUACAGUCUAUUUAAAAAAAUAAAAAAUAAAAAUGUUUUUUCAAAAAGUGAUUUAUUUUGAAGGCGCUGGCCGGAAGUGCAGUGGCCGCCGGUCGGCGCGCUCGUUGACGCCGCCGCGUGCGGGCCGAUCGGCAUUCCGAUGUGGGGAGCGAUGUAACCGCCGUGCGGACUCCGCGUCUCCUCCGGCCGCCCCCACGCCGCCCGCGAGGACCCAACAUGUCCGACCCGAAGGAGGCGAACUCUUGUCCCGACGGCUACCGCGCCCUGAGCGCCGGCGAGCUGAGGGAGCUUCUGCUGAACGACGACAAAAUGGACCAAAUCCUCCGGCUCAAUGAGAAGGUGAGGUAGUAACGUUCCCCUCCGCAACCCCCCGCCCGCGCCCGCAAAAAACAACCAGGGCUCCGUGCGGAAUUACCGCCACUUUGACGCUUUGUUGAACCGCUUUCUGUUGCCGUGAACGACGCGGUGUUUUACGGACUUUUACCGUUUAUUUUGUUCGGCUCAGAAAACGAGCGUCGGUGCGUUAGAAUUCGCUCCACGCGCCUCACCGGUUGUCUGCGUGGCGAGCGGUCGGGUCUCUCUCUCUCUCUCCCCCCCCCCGUUAAUUAAUAGUUGCUGAAGCGAGCUGGAACGCGAGGGGUUAAUUAAUUUAAAUGUUGUACGAAUGAGGGGUAGUUUUGCAUUUUGCAAGCCUCCCUACGGGGAAGGAAGCCCCGCAGCGCCUCUACGUGCUCACCGCGAACCCCCCUUUGAAAUACGGGCGUUUAACCGUUUCCUCCCCCCAGCAGGAGGACUCGCACGCCGGGCAGGAGACGUCGGAGUUCUCGCGGUGUGAUACUUUAUUCGGCAUCACUUCGCGAGUCAAACCGAGACUUGUUUUAAUACAGUGUGAACUUUUAGAAGUGUCCGUGUCUCCGGCAGCGCGUUGCUUCUUGGUGUCUCAGAUUGAAGCUGAACGCCUCCAGUGACCUUUGUUAUGGUCCGUUCCUGGGCUGCAGGUGACCUUCCUGCCUUAAAGCCACAAUGAACCCCUCUCUUUGACACACACACACACACACAAUGUGCCGCUGGUUCCCCAAACAUUUCCUUGGGCCCCAUUUUGAUGAGGUUUGCCUUGGAGCAGUUGCUCAAACAGAGCUUCUCGGUGAGGAUUCAUCUGGCCGCAGAAGUGCUGAUGGAGGAAUAACAAUAGAGUGUGCAGUGAAACCUAAGCUGAUCGCCAUCGUCAUCUUCAUCAUCGCACACGUUCUCGCCGCCGUGCCCAACGACACUCUUCAUCUUUUAUUUACCGAGACGCCCGCUCUGCAGACAAAGGCGCGCGUUAGUCACCCGCCCCGGGGUUCUCGGACGCGCUGGAUGUGACAUUUGAAACCUGGCGCUCCUGAUGGGAACCACGGAGGUUGGAUCUCGCCGAGAGGUCAUACAACACCACCCCCCCUCUCUCUCCCCCCUCGGGGGCAGAGCAGUGUGACGGGCUUAACAACUAAUAAUAGAGAGCUUGUGUUUGUUGCAGAGGACGUUUCUGUUGGGACGUAAUCGACUCUACGCGAAGAGUCUCUCGUGUCUCAUCCCUCGUUAACGGCGUGUCCGUCCACGCCUGAUCUGUCGAGCGUUCUGCAUUUCCAAAUUAACGACGUGAACGCAAAACCAAGCAAAGGUUCGCUUUUGUGGUAUUUGCAGUUCCACGGUCUGAAACGGCGUCAGGCCUUGAUGAGACCUCGGGGGAUAUUUCUCAAUUUUCUCCCAUUUGCGUAACUAAUUAAUGCAAAACCUGCAAUGACGAGCUGUAAACGCCGGUAUCACGUCUCUAUGGUGUUGAUUGAUGAACCGUUGCCUAUUUACAGCUGC